GUCGUCAGCUCGUGUCGUGAGAUGUUGGGUUAAGUCCCGCAACGAGCGCAACCCUUAUUGUCAGUUGCCAGCAUUCAGUUGGGCACUCUGGCGAGACUGCCGGUGACAAACCGGAGGAAGGUGGGGAUGACGUCAAGUCAUCAUGCCCCUUAUGACCUGGGCUACACACGUGCUACAAUGGACGAUACAACGAGUCGCGAGACCGCGAGGUUUAGCUAAUCUCUGAAAGUCGUUCUCAGUUCGGAUCGUAGGCUGCAACUCGCCUACGUGAAGUCGGAAUCGCUAGUAAUCGCGGAUCAGCAUGCCGCGGUGAAUACGUUCCCGGGA
This 327-nucleotide ribosomal RNA is filed under the name uncultured Lactobacillus sp. Its description in RNAcentral is "bacterial SSU rRNA". It matches the Rfam family "Bacterial small subunit ribosomal RNA", at positions 1051 to 1378 of the family's 1533-position model. Lineage: Bacteria; Bacillati; Bacillota; Bacilli; Lactobacillales; Lactobacillaceae. The record is from RNAcentral.